UACGGCCACAUCACGUUGAAACAUCGAUUUCCGUGCGAUCACCGAUAUUAAGCAAUAUUGUGCCUGGUCAGUACUUAGAUUGGUGACCGCUUGGGAAUAUCAGGUGCU
Non-coding RNA from Acanthosepion pharaonis, 108 nucleotides. NCBI's taxonomy places the organism in Eukaryota, Metazoa, Mollusca, Cephalopoda, Sepiida, Sepiidae. The record is from the annotation of a GenBank genome assembly.